This is a long non-coding RNA of Beta vulgaris subsp. vulgaris (sugar beet), 296 nucleotides long. RefSeq lists it as uncharacterized. The transcript is spliced from 4 exons. Lineage: Eukaryota; Viridiplantae; Streptophyta; Magnoliopsida; Caryophyllales; Amaranthaceae. The record is from RefSeq and is a predicted model, not a curated record.
AUCUUUUUCCAUCUUCUUCACUAGCCACCAUUUCUCAAAAAGGAGAAGAUCUUGCAAAUAUCAAAGGGAAGCAAAGAGGUUUCAAGAAUAAUUAAAGCCAGUCAAACUUUUGACUGUUGAUUUUUGUGUAAUCAAGAGUUUAGAGAAGAAGUUGCAGGUACAAGUUCUUGAUGUGCAUGGAAAUCAUAAGCAUCCGGAUGGGAGUUUUCAGUGCACGAGUACUUUAUUAUUUAAGCUAUCUUGAAUUUUAUGUUUGACUUUACUUGACCAAUGGGGUCAAGGUUUGACUUUUGAAG